CGUGUAGGCGGUUUGUUAAGUCUGAUGUGAAAGCCCCGGGCUCAACCUGGGAAGUGCAUUGGAAACUGGCAGACUUGAAUACGGGAGAGGGCAGUGGAAUUCCUGGUGUAGGAGUGAAAUCCGUAGAUAUCAGGAGGAACACCGGUGGCGAAGGCGGCUGCCUGGACCGAUAUUGACGCUGAGACGCGAAAGCGUGGGUAGCAAACAGGAUUAGAUACCCUGGUAGUCCACGCCGUAAACGAUGAGUACUAGGUGUUGCGGGUAUUGACCCCUGCAGUGCCGCAGCUAACGCAUUAAGUACUCCGCCUGGGAAGUACGGUCGCAAGACUAA
RNAcentral lists this ribosomal RNA (331 nucleotides) under uncultured bacterium. RNAcentral describes it as "bacterial SSU rRNA". It matches the Rfam family "Bacterial small subunit ribosomal RNA", at positions 568 to 897 of the family's 1533-position model. The record is from RNAcentral.